AGUGAACGCUGGCGGUAGGCCUAACACAUGCAAGUCGAACGGCAGCACAGAGGGGCUUGCUCCUUGGGUGGCGAGUGGCGGACGGGUGAGGAAUACAUCGGAAUCUACUCUGUCGUGGGGGAUAACGUAGGGAAACUUACGCUAAUACCGCAUACGACCUACGGGUGAAAGCAGGGGACCUUCGGGCCUUGCGCGAUUGAAUGAGCCGAUGUCGGAUUAGCUAGUUGGCGGGGUAAAGGCCCACCAAGGCGACGAUCCGUAGCUGGUCUGAGAGGAUGAUCAGCCACACUGGAACUGAGACACGGUCCAGACUCCUACGGGAGGCAGCAGUGGGGAAUAUUGGACAAUGGGCGCAAGCCUGAUCCAGCCAUACCGCGUGGGUGAAGAAGGCCUUCGGGUUGUAAAGCCCUUUUGUUGGGAAAGAAAUCCAGCUGGCCAAUACCCGGUUGGGAUGACGGUACCCAAAGAAUAAGCACCGGCUAACUUCGUGCCAGCCGCCGCAGUAA
This 506-nucleotide ribosomal RNA is filed under the name uncultured bacterium. RNAcentral describes it as "partial 16S ribosomal RNA". It matches the Rfam family "Bacterial small subunit ribosomal RNA", at positions 29 to 523 of the family's 1533-position model. The record is from RNAcentral.